This 72-nucleotide transfer RNA is filed under the name Lactococcus phage LW31. RNAcentral describes it as "tRNA-Cys". It matches the Rfam family "tRNA". Rfam says of the family: Transfer RNA (tRNA) molecules are approximately 80 nucleotides in length. Their secondary structure includes four short double-helical elements and three loops (D, anti-codon, and T loops). Lineage: Duplodnaviria; Heunggongvirae; Uroviricota; Caudoviricetes. The record is from RNAcentral. RNAcentral also lists the same sequence under 3 other names.
GGUCUUAUAGUGAAGUGGCUAACACAGGAGACUGCAAAUCUCUAAUCGUCGGUUCAAAUCCGACUAGGACCU